RNAcentral lists this unclassified non-coding RNA (365 nucleotides) under soil metagenome. RNAcentral describes it as "partial contains 5.8S ribosomal RNA, internal transcribed spacer 2, and large subunit ribosomal RNA". The stretch from base 1 to 120 matches the Rfam family "5.8S ribosomal RNA", at positions 35 to 154 of the family's 154-position model. The record is from RNAcentral.
GAUGAAGAACGUAGUGAAAUGCGAUAAGUAAUGUGAAUUGCAGAAUUCAGUGAAUCAUCGAAUCUUUGAACGCACAUUGCGCCCGCCAGCAUUCUGGCGGGCAUGCCUGUUCGAGCGUCAUUUCAACCCUCGCAGCCCAUCUGGGCAGCGGUGUUGGGGACCGGCACCACCGGCGAAGCCCUUAGGGGCCCAGCCGGCGCCGCCCCCGAAAUACAGUGGCGGUCUCGCUGCAGCCUCCCUUGCGUAGUAGCACACCUCGCACCGGAGCGCAGCGCGGCCACGCCGUAAAACCCCCGACUUUCUGAGUUUGACCUCGAAUCAGGUAGGAAUACCCGCUGAACUUAAGCAUAUCAAUAAGCGGAGGA